RNAcentral lists this ribosomal RNA (253 nucleotides) under uncultured bacterium. RNAcentral describes it as "partial 16S ribosomal RNA". It matches the Rfam family "Bacterial small subunit ribosomal RNA", at positions 524 to 776 of the family's 1533-position model. The record is from RNAcentral.
UACAGAGGGUGCGAGCGUUGUCCGGAAUCACUGGGCGUAAAGGGCGCGUAGGCGGUCCGUUAAGCGUGUGGUGAAAGCCCGGGGCUCAACUCCGGGUCUGCCGUGCGAACUGGGGGACUGGAGCUUGUCAGAGGCAGGCGGAAUUCCGGGUGUAGCGGUGGAAUGCGUAGAGAUCCGGAAGAACACCGGUGGCGAAGGCGGCCUGCUGGGACAGUGCUGACGCUGAGGCGCGACAGCGUGGGGAGCAAACAGG